GUUUAUUGGAAUGAAGCUGGCCACCCUGGCUUCAUUAUAGGAAAGGUAUUCACAGUUUGGUUUCCGUCCUUUUGCAGCUGCAUUCAAACGCUUUGUGCGACUGUUUAAAUUUUUAGCAGCUCUUAAGUGGAUAGAAGGUAUGCAGACUUCAAGUCUGUGAGUUCAAGAGAUGCAUUGAUUUAUUUCAGCAAUUUGGAUUUGGAAUUUAAUUUCCAUCUUCUUUGUUCCUUCCGCUUUGUUCUCUCCCUACUUUCUUUCUCCCUCUCUGUCAAACACACACACACACCCCCUCCCUCUUGCAGCUAAGGCACUCACAGGAAAAUAAGCUUGAAACAAGCUUUGAGACUUUGAAGAUAACCCCCAUGGUGUGAUGCUGGUAAGGUGCUUUGGUCCAUGGCAGCUGCUAUGCAGUAACUGCGUAACAGGACAUUUGCACCACUCCAGCAAAGUGUGGACAGCCAAAAGAGAAAAAUAGUAUUUGCUUCUGCAGACUAGAAGACCUUAACAAUAGAAAACCUCAGCUUUUGUUAUUUUAUCAAUGAAAUAAUAGAAUCAAAACUUUCUUAACCUCCUCUGAGUGGUGUUUCUGGCCUGGUAGCUCCACUGAGCUCUGUGCAUCAAAGGCUUCCUGGCAGAGAAACUGGGCCUGGCAGGCAUAACCGCCUGAUGCCUGGCAUGUUGAAGGGGCUCAUGGUGGACAUUGAUAAUGUUCAGGCUGCCAGCUUCCGUCUUGCCUCCCUAACAGUACCCUGAAUUGACUGGGGAAAUAAAAUCGCCUCCAUUGUAAUGGAGACUUGGUCGGAGGAACUGGAUCUUUCCUGCCUCACUUUCUGAUUCAGAACAGAGGGAGAAGACACAGAGCUAACUUGAGCCACGCUGUGUGUUCUCCAGUGACUUUGGACUUGCUUGAGGACCCAGCGAUGGAUGACUGGCAGAGGCCCCUCACCAUGUCAGGGGGUGACCUGUGGUCCUGAUGAGUUCCUCUGUGAGCCAGGUGCUUCACUUUCUGCCUUUUGUUUCGCUGGAUCUCUCUUGGUACCUGCUUCUCCCAGCCUGGCUUCCAACAUUUUAGCAAUUUUAUGAGUCCUGAAAUAGCAUUUCAGUAAUUUCCCUUUUGCUUAAGUUAUCUAGAGCCCUUUUCUGUUGGUUGCUAUUGAAGACCUCAACUGAGAUAGCACAAUAACUGUUCCUAGAGCGAAUGAAUUAAUGGAAUGACGAUAAGCCCAGAUUAUAUUUCAAGGCUUUUGCGAUUUUUCCCCUUCUUUUGUCAUAGAGAAUUGAAUCUCAUCUGAAGAUGAAUUUUCUUGGAAUUUGGAAAAAUAUUGAAGUUUUAUACAAUUUUCCUUUCAGAGGCAAAGCUAUUUUCAAAAAAACAAUUGAACCUAAUUUUAAAUAUAGGUUUAUUAUAUGGUAGUUAGAAAAUAAAGAUAAAAUAUUCAUAACCAUCUUUCUCUAUAGUAAAUAUCAGUUGACAAAAUCGUGUUUGAUAAGUGAAUGUAAGGUGGUAGAAAUAAUAAUCUCCCUUUCCAUUGGGGCUGUUUUCAGCUCUUCAGUCUUACAGCGGAUCCUGGGAGCUCCUCUGUGGCUCAGGGGGAUAAGGACCCAGCGUUGUCACUACUGUGGCCUGGGUGACUGAUGUGGUGCACGUUUGGGCCCUGGCCCUGGAAUUUCUGUAUGCCACGGGCACAG
RNAcentral lists this long non-coding RNA (1689 nucleotides) under Sus scrofa (pig). RNAcentral's name for it is "lncRNA (ENSSSCG00015060587.1)". The record is from RNAcentral. Lineage: Eukaryota; Metazoa; Chordata; Mammalia; Artiodactyla; Suidae.